This 63-nucleotide transfer RNA is filed under the name Nebria rubrofemorata. RNAcentral's name for it is "tRNA-Leu". The record is from RNAcentral. Lineage: Eukaryota; Metazoa; Arthropoda; Insecta; Coleoptera; Carabidae.
UUAUUUUGGCAGAUUAGUGCUAUGAAUUUAGAAUUCAUAUAUGUGAUUUUAUUACAAAUAAUA